This 474-nucleotide ribosomal RNA is filed under the name uncultured bacterium. RNAcentral describes it as "partial 16S ribosomal RNA". It matches the Rfam family "Bacterial small subunit ribosomal RNA", at positions 28 to 507 of the family's 1533-position model. The record is from RNAcentral.
GAUGAACGCUGGCGGCGUGCCUAAUACAUGCAAGUCGAACGGAAAGGGCCGAGCUUGGUGUUGUGCUUGAGUGGCGAACGGGUGAGUAACACGUGAGUAACCUGCCUGGUAGCGGGGGAUAACUAUAGGAAACGGUGGCUAAUACCGCAUAGCAACUCCUACUGCAUGGUGAGUGUUGGAAAGUGUCGGCUGCUGCGGUUGGAGUUGGGCCUGCGUCUUCUCAGCUAGGUGGUGGGGUAGUGGAUUGCCUAGGCGGUGAUGGGUAGCCGGCCUGAGAGGGUGACCGGCCACAUUGGGACUGAGAUACGGCCCAGACUCCUACGGGAGGCAGCAGUGGGGAAUAUUGCACAAUGGGCGGAAGCAUGAUGCAGCAACGCCGCGUGCGGGAUGACGGCCUUCGGGUUGUAAACCGCUUUCGCCUGUGACGAAGCGUGAGUGACGGUAAUGGGUAAAGAAGCACCGGCUAACUACGUG